RNAcentral lists this small RNA (368 nucleotides) under Arabidopsis thaliana (thale cress). RNAcentral's name for it is "ATSL079330". Lineage: Eukaryota; Viridiplantae; Streptophyta; Magnoliopsida; Brassicales; Brassicaceae. The record is from RNAcentral.
AAAAGAAACGUAACGGCUAAUACCAACAAGUAACAACGUUCAAAAUUCUCUACUUCUAUAUAAUAAGAAGGAAACUCAAGUACAUUCUUCCCCAACCGAAUGGCCGACUUUCUCAUCAUAUUUGGAAGAGUUACAGAACGAUAAAAAUGAGUUCACAAGCUUUUUUUUUUUAUCUUUAAUCUCUCGUAGUGCUAAUGUUAAAGCGGAUUUUUUGUCACGAAAAGUUCGUAUCCAACCGCUUCAUAUUACAUUUGUAAACAACAUUCUUCAGAAUUGUCUUUUUUGAGUCCUAAUUAAUUUUCGGAUGACAAAAAAAAGAAAAAAACUCUAAGUACACUCCUCUCUUGUUACAGCCAAAUAAAAUGUUU